This is a long non-coding RNA of Aegilops tauschii subsp. strangulata, 2660 nucleotides long. RefSeq lists it as uncharacterized. The record is from RefSeq and is a predicted model, not a curated record. NCBI's taxonomy places the organism in Eukaryota, Viridiplantae, Streptophyta, Magnoliopsida, Poales, Poaceae.
CGCUCGGCGAGGUGGGACUAAUCACCCGCCAACGCUCACGCCUUCCUUCCUUCUUCCUUCGUAGCAGGUUUGUGAGGCCGCCCAUGGAUACUGUGGGCUCCGACGGCCCACCUCAAAAAUCCCCUCUCAGUCAACUCCGCCGCCUUGCCUCAAAAAAAAAAAAAAAGUCAACUCCGCCGCCACCUCCUCCCUGCUUCGUCGGCUGCAGCCGUCCGCUGCUCCUCCCCAGCCUGUGGCCCGGACGACGGCAGCCGCCGGAGGGUUGCGCACUUCGUCGGCACACACACCGGCCGGGCCCGCCAAGGGUCAUAUUUACAGCGAUAUGCAGAUGUGGCUCGGUCAUGUGGAAGCAUGUAACCAGGAAGGAUUGCAUCUGAAUAAAUUGACACGACAGCAACUGUAUUAAUCGGGUUAGCGCACUGUUAGUUUCAUGUUUAUCCAUUCUCCUUUGUGUGAUGCAAACCUAAAUUGAUAUCUGUAUUAUACCGAACAGUCAGGUGUUAAGCUCUGAAACUUGUUCAAGCUUUGAGAGGGGUGUUUAUUUACCUAAUCAGCAAUUAUAACGGUAGCCUGCUAGAUCACCUGCUGAAAUUCUAUACUGUGUCACUGUUAAAGGACAUUCCCAGACAGAACCUUCCAGUACUAACCUACUAGACCAUGAGCUGGUUAACUUUAACAGGACACACAAUGACUGAACCUCCAUAGCAGCUAUUCCCCAAUCAAUAUCACAUUAACUGGAUUCAGACUCAUGGGACUGCGUCUUGUUUGUUAUUCACUGGAUUCUUGAUAUUUUUAUCAUUUCAUUUGACUCAGCCGAUUUUAAGUACUCAAAGUAUAAUAGCUGCACUAGUUUUUCUGUUUCGUCUAGCCCAGAUGAUAUUUUGCUUCAUUUAGUCCUCAGUGUAGCUUUAACUCAUCUAUUGCUUGCUUCUGUAAUUAACAGCUGUUUGGGCUUGUGGAGUUGGUGUCCCAAUGUUGGAAAGUCUGUACUUAUUCUUUCCAUUCAUAAAUUUGCCAAUCCUAAAUUUCCAGGUGGGACUAUUAUAAUAGAAACAUUGUUGUUUCGUUGAUAAUCGAUGUUUGUUGUUGCUCUAUACCCAAUGAAUGAUAAGAUCAAGCGGGCUACGGUUGGAUCACUAUCUGGAGUUGUUUUCUCGACACGACUGAAUUUGUUAAUUGAUUUUUUUCUGAGUGACAUUAUUAUUGCACCAGAUACCAGGAAAAACACACACCAAAUAACCCAUGUUAACUUGAUUGCUUUGUCGGUUGUACUAUGCUCGUGAAUGACUGCCCACUUGAGUUAUAUCUGAUUACCUUUUUUGUUUGUCACUGUGAUAUUUGCGCCUAUUCAACAGUAGAUGUAGUAUAAAAUACAAAUAUGCACACAUCCAUGGAUGGACUAACUGCUCGAAACUUAGAAUCUUAUUUUCCUAUUCUUUGCAUAUUAAUUUUGUAAUAGCAGAAGUAUUGCUUGCUCGCCCAGAAGAGUAAAAACACCAAUUUGUCAAAAUAUAUACCAUCUUAACCUGUCGAAGGCAUACCAUCCUGUCACAAUAAUGUUUCAGCUUUUAAUCCGUCCAAGGCACGUCUAGACUAUGGUCACUUUCCUUUACCAGCUCUGUGAUUUUACGUUGUGCAAUGGCUCCUGAUUAAGAUUAUUACUGUGAAAAAGAGCCAACCUCAUGUUAUCACAUACUCCGGAUUUCCUUGAUUAUUGUUAUAGAAGUAUUGUUUGCAUUAAUUUAUAUGAACCAUUUGUAUGCAUUAUCUUAGAGUUGCUUGCUGCUACUGCUGAUUUCACCUCCUCGAACUCACCUCGCGAAGGGCUUGUGGACGGCAGUGAGGAGCAUGGCAGGUGACUAGGUUGACCUCCUUGGCAACAGCAACAACAAGGACAAGGUUGGCGGUGGCGACAAGGGGCAAGGCAGCAGCGGCAGAGCAAUGGCAAUGGCUAGAAGUCUCUAAUCCCUUUGUUUCCUGCUUGGAUUAAAUUCUGCAGUGGAAAUAAUGUGAUUUUCCCUCUUCUUUCUGUUUUUGGAUCACCCCACCUUGACUAUACAGGUAGCACAAGGAGCUUGUGGGAUUUGAUAUCCUUAGUGUUGCUUAGUGAUAUUUCUCUACCCCGGGGCUGGAGAAUUUUGUUUCUAGAUGCACCUGAAGAAUCAUUACAAAUGGUAGUCUUCCUCCUUAUCAGCACAAUUGUCUUUAUGUUUUGGCCCACGAUCUUCUGAUGUAUGUGAAGACUGCUGAAAAGAAUAUCUGUUGUACAUGUGCUCCUCUUGAAUGUAUUUAUAUUUUCUAAUGUAUGUUAGUGAAAAGAAGAGGAAAUUCUUUGUAGAAACAGCUAAUAUGUUUGAACAUUGAUUUUGUGAAUAAUUAUGCUAUGCUUACAAGAUAUAUUUUUUCCGUUCUAUGAGAGUUCAUGUAGUUAUAAUAUGCUUGGCUAGGUUUUUUUUACUGAGAUCUUGAUUUAGCAAGCUCAUUUUUUUUUCCUCAGGUUGUUAUUAGACUAUGAUUUUAGAACUAGUUCAUAUUCAUGCAUUUUUUGGGGUCCAUAUAUGUAUUUUCUGAGGGGGUGCAUUGUGGAUUACUCAUGCUGACCUUCUGUCCUGAAAUAUAAAAUGUAAUAGAUUCCAAUAUUUAAGUUCCCCUGGUGAUUA